GAAAGAAAUAGUAAGAGAGACAAGAAAGAAAUAGUAAAAUAGGUAGAAAAGUAGAGACAAGAAAGAAAUAGUAAGAGAGACAAGAAAGAAAUAGUAAAAUAGGUAGAAAAGUAAAGACAAGAAAGAAAUAGUAAGAGAGACAAGAAAGAAAUAGUAAGAGAGACAAGAAAGAAAUAGUAAAUUAGGUAGAAAAGUAGAGACAAGAAAGAAAUAGUAAGAGAGACAAGAAAGAAAUAGUAAGAGAGACAAGAAAGAAAUAGUAAAAUAGGUAGAAAAGUAAAGACAAGAAAGAAAUAGUAAGAGAGACAAGAAAAAAAUAGUAAGAGAGACAAGAAAGAAAUAGUAAAAUAGGUACAAAAGUAGAGACAAGAAAGAAAUAGUAAGAGAGACAAGAAAGAAAUAGUAAAAUAGGUACAAAAGUAGAGACAAGAAAGAAAUAGUAAGAGAGACAAGAAAGAAAUAGUAAGAGAGACAAGAAAGAAAUAGUAAAAUAGGUGCAAAAGUAGAGACAAGAAAGAAAUAGUAAAAUAGGUACAAAAGUAGAGACAAGAAAGAAAUAGUAAGAGAGACAAGAAAGAAAUAGUAA
Paramuricea clavata is the source of this 586-nucleotide non-coding RNA. The record is from the annotation of a GenBank genome assembly. NCBI's taxonomy places the organism in Eukaryota, Metazoa, Cnidaria, Anthozoa, Malacalcyonacea, Plexauridae.